This 520-nucleotide unclassified non-coding RNA is filed under the name uncultured Glomus. Its description in RNAcentral is "SSU rRNA". It matches the Rfam family "Eukaryotic small subunit ribosomal RNA", at positions 569 to 1084 of the family's 1831-position model. RNAcentral also lists the same sequence under 1 other name. The record is from RNAcentral. Lineage: Eukaryota; Fungi; Glomeromycota; Glomeromycetes; Glomerales; Glomeraceae.
AGCAGCCGCGGUAAUUCCAGCUCCAAUAGCGUAUAUUAAAGUUGUUGCAGUUAAAAAGCUCGUAGUUGAAUUUCGGGAUUGACGUGAUGGUCGUGCCUUACGGGGUAUGAACUGUUGCUGUUGAUUUCUCACCUUCUGGAGAAACUUGAUGUCCUUAAUUGGGUGUCUUGCGGAUCCAGGACCUUUACCUUGAAAAAAUUAGAGUGUUUAAAGCAGGCAUUUUGCUCGAAUACAUUAGCAUGGAAUAAUAGAAUAGGACGGCAUGGUUCUAUUUUGUUGGUUUCUAGGAUCACCGUAAUGAUUAAUAGGGAUAGUUGGGGGCAUUAGUAUUCAAUUGUCAGAGGUGAAAUUCUUGGAUUUAUUGAAGACUAACUACUGCGAAAGCAUUUGCCAAGGAUGUUUUCAUUAAUCAAGAACGAAAGUUAGGGGAUCGAAGACGAUCAGAUACCGUCGUAGUCUUAACCAUAAACUAUGCCGACUAGGAAUCAGACGAUGUUAAUUUUUUAAUGACUCGUUUGGC